Molecule: ribosomal RNA, 193 nt
Filed under: uncultured eukaryote
Lineage: Eukaryota
Description: partial 18S ribosomal RNA
Rfam family: Eukaryotic small subunit ribosomal RNA
Source: RNAcentral
CAACCUGGUUGAUCCUGCCAGUUUGUCAUAUGCUUGUUUCAAGGACUAAGCCAUGCAAGUGUGAGAGUACUCGGGGCUUGCCUCGAGAGGUCUGUGUACGGCUCAUUAAACGGUUUAUUGUCUACCCAACGAAGGAUGUGCAUUUGCCACCCAACGGGAUAACUUUGCUAACUGCAAAGCUAAUACCUGUAAG